AUGUUGUUUAAUUCGAUGAUACGCGAAGAACCUUACCAGGUCUUGACAUCCCCGCGAUGCUUUAGAGAUAAAGCGGAGGUAUUCGGGGAGACAGGUGGUGCAUGGUUGUCGUCAGCUCGUGUCGUGAGAUGUUGGGUUAAGUCCCGCAACGAGCGCAACCCCUACGUUUAGUUGCUAACGCGUGAAGGCGAGCACUCUAGACGAACUGCCGUUGACAAAACGGAGGAAGGUGGGAUGACGUCAAAUCAUCAUGCCCCUUAUGUUCUGGGCUACACACGUGCUACAAUGGCCGGUACAGACGGAGGCGAAGCCGCGAGGCGGAGCAAAUCCGAAAAAGCCGGUCUCAGUUCGGAUUGCAGGCUGCAAUUCGCCUGCAUGAAGUCGGAAUCGCUAGUAAUCGCAGGUCAGCAUACUGCGGUGAAUACGUUCCCGGGCCUU
RNAcentral lists this ribosomal RNA (438 nucleotides) under uncultured Pelotomaculum sp. Its description in RNAcentral is "bacterial SSU rRNA". It matches the Rfam family "Bacterial small subunit ribosomal RNA", at positions 939 to 1382 of the family's 1533-position model. Lineage: Bacteria; Bacillati; Bacillota; Clostridia; Eubacteriales; Desulfotomaculaceae. The record is from RNAcentral.